RNAcentral lists this ribosomal RNA (484 nucleotides) under uncultured bacterium. Its description in RNAcentral is "partial 16S ribosomal RNA". It matches the Rfam family "Bacterial small subunit ribosomal RNA", at positions 30 to 507 of the family's 1533-position model. The record is from RNAcentral.
AUUGAACGCUGGCGGCAGGCCUAACACAUGCAAGUCGAGCGGAUGAAGGGAGCUUGCUCCUGGAUUCAGCGGCGGACGGGUGAGUAAUGCCUAGGAAUCUGCCUGGUAGUGGGGGAUAACGUCCGGAAACGGGCGCUAAUACCGCAUACGUCCUGAGGGAGAAAGUGGGGGAUCUUCGGACCUCACGCUAUCAGAUGAGCCUAGGUCGGAUUAGCUAGUUGGUGGGGUAAAGGCCUACCAAGGCGACGAUCCGUAACUGGUCUGAGAGGAUGAUCAGUCACACUGGAACUGGGACACGGUCCAGACUCCUACGGGAGGCAGCAGUGGGGAAUAUUGGACAAUGGGCGGAAGCCUGAUCCAGCCAUGCCGCGUGUGUGGAGAAGGUCUUCGGAUUGUAAAGCACUUUAAGUUGGGAGGAAGGGCAGUAAGUUAAUACCUUGCUGUUUUGACGUUACCAACAGAAUAAGCACCGGCUAACUUCGUG